RNAcentral lists this ribosomal RNA (521 nucleotides) under uncultured Glomus. Its description in RNAcentral is "SSU rRNA". It matches the Rfam family "Eukaryotic small subunit ribosomal RNA", at positions 569 to 1092 of the family's 1831-position model. The record is from RNAcentral. Lineage: Eukaryota; Fungi; Glomeromycota; Glomeromycetes; Glomerales; Glomeraceae.
AGCAGCCGCGGUAAUUCCAGCUCCAAUAGCGUAUAUUAAAGUUGUUGCAGUUAAAAAGCUCGUAGUUGAAUUUCGGGAUCAGACUGUCGGUCGUGCCUCGGUACGCACUGGCAUUAUUGGUUCCUACCUUCUGAAGAACCGUGAUGUCAUUAAUUUGGUGUCGCGGGGAAUCAGGACUGUUACUUUGAAAAAAUUAGAGUGUUUAAAGCAGGCUUACGCUUGAAUACAUUAGCAUGGAAUAAUGAAAUAGGACGUUUGAUUCUAUUUUGUUGGUUUCUAGGAUCGACGUAAUGAUUAAUAGGGAUAGUUGGGGGCAUUAGUAUUCAAUUGUCAGAGGUGAAAUUCUUGGAUUUAUUGAAGACUAACUACUGCGAAAGCAUUUGCCAAGGAUGUUUUCAUUAAUCAAGAACGAAAGUUAGGGGAUCGAAGACGAUCAGAUACCGUCGUAGUCUUAACCAUAAACUAUGCCGACUAGGGAUCGGAUGAUGUUAAUUUUAUAAUGACUCAUUCGGCGCCUUACG